This 430-nucleotide long non-coding RNA is filed under the name Bos taurus (domestic cattle). RNAcentral describes it as "long non-coding RNA NONBTAT010961". Lineage: Eukaryota; Metazoa; Chordata; Mammalia; Artiodactyla; Bovidae. The record is from RNAcentral.
AAAAUUUCAGAUGUUUUUUAUUCAAAGGUUUUCAAAAGAAAUAAAACAGAAAAAAGCUAACAAUCUGAUCAAAUGUACAGUUCAAAAAUGUCUUUUGGCGUUUAACAACAAGUCCUAGGAAAGAAAACUACAGAGUUAUCUUGAACCGGACAAAUAAGUUACCACUGGCAAGUUUGUGGCACUAGUAAAACAAAAAUAAAAAAUUAACUCUCUUGAUCAUAUAGAUAUCUCUAUGAAAAUCUUUUUUUUUUCAAUCUGUACAAAAGGUCUUUCUUCUCUGUCUUAACUAAUGCAAAAAUAUCAAGUAGUGAGAGACCCAGGUUUAUAACGUACUAGGUACAAAGAGGGCGCUGCGUUCAGUCUGGACUUUCACAAAGCAGUAAUAUUCCAGGGAGCAUAGAACCAAUAAUACCACAACUUUAAAAAAAGG